ACUGCUCAGUAACACGUGGUCAACAUACCCAGAGGACGUGGAUAACCUCGGGAAACUGAGGAUAAACCGCGAUAGACCAUAAUGUCUGGAAUGAUUUAUGGUUCAAAUCUAUAUGGCCUCUGGAUUGGACUGCGGCCGAUCAGGCUGUUGGUGAGGUAAUGGCCCACCAAACCUGAAACCGGUACGGGCUCUGAGAGGAGAAGCCCGGAGAUGGGCACUGAGACAAGGGCCCAGGCCCUAUGGGGCGCAGCAGGCGCGAAACCUUUGCAAUAGGCGAAAGCCUGACAAGGUUACUCUGAGUGAUCUCCGCUAAGGAAAUCUUUUGACACCUCUAAAAAUGGUGUAGAAUAAGGGGUGGGCAAGCCUGGUGUCAGCCGCCGCGGUAAUACCAGCACCCCGAGUGGUCGGGACGAUUAUUGGGCCUAAAGCAUCCGUAGCCGGUUCUUUAAGUCCUCCGUUAAAUCCACCUGCUUAACAGAUGGGCUGCGGAGGAUACUAUAGAGCUAGGAGGCGGGAGAGGCAAGCGGUACUCAGUGGGUAGGGGUAAAAUCCGUUGAUCCAUUGAAGACCACCAGUGGCGAAGGCGGCUUGCCAGAACGCGCUCGACGGUGAGGGAUGAAAGCUGGGGGAGCAAACCGGAUUAGAUACCCGGGUAGUCCCAGCUGUAAACGAUGCAGACUCGGUGAUGAACAGGCUUCGUGCCUGUUCAGUGCCGCAGGGAAGCCGUUAAGUCUGCCGCCUGGGGAGUACGGUCGCAAGACCGAAACUUAAAGGAAUUGGCGGGGGAGCAC
RNAcentral lists this ribosomal RNA (791 nucleotides) under uncultured archaeon. RNAcentral describes it as "bacterial SSU rRNA". It matches the Rfam family "Archaeal small subunit ribosomal RNA", at positions 85 to 879 of the family's 1478-position model. The record is from RNAcentral.